This is a non-coding RNA of Cyclobacterium marinum DSM 745, 119 nucleotides long. NCBI's taxonomy places the organism in Bacteria, Pseudomonadati, Bacteroidota, Cytophagia, Cytophagales, Cyclobacteriaceae. The record is from Rfam.
GAUGGUAGGUCCAUCAGGGUCGUUGUAUAGGCGAUGGCUCUAAACCACCUAAAGGUGCUUUGAUUAAUAGUCUUGGUGCUGAGCGUUUAGGAGAAUCUAGUCCAAAGAGGCUAGCAGGU